RNAcentral lists this ribosomal RNA (1420 nucleotides) under Devaleraea ramentacea. RNAcentral describes it as "bacterial LSU rRNA". It matches the Rfam family "Bacterial large subunit ribosomal RNA", at positions 1029 to 2465 of the family's 2925-position model. Lineage: Eukaryota; Rhodophyta; Florideophyceae; Palmariales; Palmariaceae. The record is from RNAcentral.
AGACCGCCAGCUAAGGUCCCAAAGUACUAGUUAAGUGGGAAACGAUGUGGAAAGGCAUAGACAGCUAGGAGGUUGGCUUAGAAGCAGCCAUCCUUUAAAGAAAGCGUAAUAGCUCACUAGUCGAGUCGGUCUGCGCGGAAGAUGUAACGGGGCUAAACCAUGCACCGAAGCUGCGGCAGCGACGCUUAGGCGUUGUUGGGUAGGGGAGCGUUCUGUAAGCCGUCGAAGGUGGACUGUGAGGUCUGCUGGAGGUAUCAGAAGUGCGAAUGCUGACAUAAGUAACGAUAAUGCGGGUGAAAAACCCGCACGCCGGAAGACCAAGGGUUCCUGUCCAACGUUAAUCGGGGCAGGGUGAGUCGACCCCUAAGGCGAGGCUGAAAAGCGUAGUCGAUGGAUGACAGGUUAAUAUUCCUGUACUGUUUAUUAUUGAUAACGAGGGACGGAGAAGGCUAAGUCAGCCGGAUGUUGGUUACCGGUUUAAACUUUCGAUGUGAUGAGGAGUGGAGAAAACAUUCUGAGCAAAGAAGUGAAUACAAAGUACUAAGGUGCUAAAGUGAUUGAUGUCAUACUUCCUAGAAAAGCUCGACAUAUCUUAAAUAAUAAACACCUGUACCCGAAACCGACACAGGUAGGUAGGUAGAGUAUACCAAGGGGCGCGAGAUAACUCUCUCUAAGGAACUCGGCAAAAUGGCCCCGUAACUUCGGAAGAAGGGGUACCCUUGUAGGGUUGCAAUAACCAGACCCAAGCGACUGUUUAUCAAAAACACAGGUCUCCGCUAAGUCGCAAGACAAUGUAUGGGGGCUGACGCCUGCCCAGUGCCGGAAGGUUAAAGAAGUCGGUUAGUAUUUAUACGAAGCUGACGACUGAAGCCCCGGUGAACGGCGGCCGUAACAAUAACGGUCCUAAGGUAGCGAAAUUCCUUGUCGGGUAAGUUCCGACCCGCACGAAAGGCGUAACGAUUUGGGUACUGUCUCGGAGAGAGACUCGGCGAAAUAGACUUGUCUGUGAAGAUGCGGACUACCUGCACCUGGACAGAAAGACCCUAUGAAGCUUUACUGUAACUUGGAAUUGGGUUUGAGCUUUUCUUGCGCAGCAUAGGUGGGAAGCUAAGAAAAUAGGUUUGCGGAUCUAUUUGAGCUAUCAGUGAGAUACCACUCUGGAAAAGCUAGAAUUCUAACCUUGAAAGCCGUUAUCCGGCCAAGGGACAGUUUCAGGUGGGCAGUUUGACUGGGGCGGUCGCCUCCUAAAAAGUAACGGAGGCGUGCAAAGGUUCCCUCAGGCUGGUUGGAAAUCAGUCGUAGAGUGUAAAGGCAUAAGGGAGCUUGACUGCAAGACCUACAAGUCGAGCAGAGACGAAAGUCGGCCUUAGUGAUCCGACAGUGCCGAGUGGAAGGGCUGUCGCUCAACGGAUAAAAGUUA